UACGUAGGGUGCGAGCGUUGUCCGGAAUUAUUGGGCGUAAAGGGCUCGUAGGCGGUUUGUCGCGUCGGGAGUGAAAACUCAGGGCUUAACCCUGAGCCUGCUUCCGAUACGGGCAGACUAGAGUGCGGUAGGGGAGACUGGAAUUCCUGGUGUAGCGGUGAAAUGCGCAGAUAUCAGGAGGAACACCGGUGGCGAAGGCGGGUCUCUGGGCCGUAACUGACGCUGAGGAGCGAAAGCGUGGGGAGCGAACAGG
This 253-nucleotide ribosomal RNA is filed under the name uncultured bacterium. Its description in RNAcentral is "partial 16S ribosomal RNA". It matches the Rfam family "Bacterial small subunit ribosomal RNA", at positions 524 to 776 of the family's 1533-position model. The record is from RNAcentral.